AGAAAUUUAGGUUACCAAUUCUAAACCUAGAACCUUCAAAGUUCUGAACAGGGAACAACCCCUAAUUUCUG
Molecule: transfer RNA, 71 nt
Filed under: Asaccus sp. TG-2012
Lineage: Eukaryota; Metazoa; Chordata; Lepidosauria; Squamata; Phyllodactylidae
Description: tRNA-Trp
Source: RNAcentral